This is a non-coding RNA of Macaca mulatta (Rhesus monkey), 1721 nucleotides long. The record is from RefSeq and is a predicted model, not a curated record. Lineage: Eukaryota; Metazoa; Chordata; Mammalia; Primates; Cercopithecidae.
CAAAAUGAACCUCAUGUGCUGGACACUAUGUCAUUUAUGUGGAAUCUGUAGUGUUAGCUUUCUCAGAGCCCAGAGCCAGGCACCAGGUCUCACUGGGACAUAUGGCCCAAAAAAGGCUUCAUUCUGACUUAGAAUCUAGUAGGAGGUGAAGUCCCACAAAGUGACUGUCGCCUUAAACCCCUCUGGGAAGUCUGCGAUUGUUCUGGGGUUUACUGUUUGUUUCCCUAUGGGCGACAGAAUGGUGAAGACAUCCUGCCAAGAUUCCCGAGGCCUUUCAGCUCACACUCGAAUCUGGCACUGCUGUGAAGGAAUUUGCAGAUGGGAUUAAGGUGAAUAACCAGCUGAUUGUAAAAUCGGGCAUUGAUCUUGCAUCUUGUGGGUGGGCCUGGUGCAAUUCUAUGAGCCCACAUGAGUGGAGGCAGCUCUCUGGCUGGAGUUGGCGGUGGGGGGGAGAAGAGGAGGCAGAAGGGAGAUGAGGCAGAAGGGACUUCACAGAGACUGGAAGCAAGAAAAGCACUCACCUUGCCAUUAGUGGCUUUGAAGGGGGCCACAAGCCAAGGAAUGUGCAUGGCCUCCAGGAUCUGAGUGUCCCCUCACCCCACUGGUGAUUGCCAGCAAGGACACAAGAACCUCAGUCCCACAAAAAAGGACCUGCAUUCGGUCAAGAACCUGAAAGAACUUGGGCGUGGAUUCUCUCCCAGAGCCUGUAGGAAGGAAUGCAGCCUGGCUGAUGCCUUGACUUUGGCUCUGUGAAACUUGGCAGAGAGCCAGCUGAGCCGUGCUGUGCCCACACUACUGACCUACCAACUCUGUAGGAUAAAUUUAUGCUGCUUUUAAGCAGGGAAUUUUCUGGUAAUCUGUAUGACAUCAACAGAAAACGAAUACACUGCCCUUAGCAUGAAUGUAAACUGCCACAGGGAAGCUUUGCCAAGGCAUCUCCGGUGCCUGGAACAGUGUCUGGAACAGCAUAGGUGCUCAUUAAGUGCUCACUGAGUGAAUGAGUGAUGUGGCGACUAUUGGUAUGUGGCUUCUGCAAGAAGGCUGGAGAAGACACGAGGGACCACAGCAGCAAAUGGAGCCAGGACAGGUAACAUCUGACCAGACAACUGGACUGUAUCACAGCCAGGAUGCUGAUAUCGACAUGCUCCACCUACCUUACUCAUGCUUCUCGGUUUCACCUGUUCUCUCUGUGUGUGCGUUACAGAAGGGAGGUGAGGCAGAAGGGACUUCACAGAGACUGGAAGCAGAAAAGCACUCACCCUGCCAUUAGUGGCCUUGAAGGGGCCACAAGCCAAGGAAUGUGCACAGCACUGUUUUGCCACCUGGGUAGGUCUGUGUGAUCAUGACCGCUGGCUGAUGCUGAACAAGGUGCUGAGCAGGGCAGCACCCCCAGGACCCCCAGGCUGCUCCAGUGUAACCGCACCUGCUCUCCUCUUCCCACUCCCUCUCCCAACCCCUGGUGACCAACAGCCUUAAACAUUUUUAAAAUGUUUUCAUUUAUGUAAUGUGAUAUACAUGGGAUUAUACAGUAUGUAAUCCUUUGAGACUGACUUCUUUUGAUCUGCCACAUUUUUAAAAGCCCGUCUUCCCCGCUGGGACUGCAGGCUCCUUGAGGGAAGGAACUGGUUAUGGCUGAAUCCCCAGGGCCUGACAUGUAGUAGGCGCCCUAUGUUUAUUGAUUUAGCGAGAGGCAAUCCAAAUAAAAAAGCAUUUACAUGCCA